GGAAUAUUCCACAAUGGGCGAAAGCCUGAUGGAGCGACGCCGCGUGAGUGAAGAAGGUUUUCGAAUCGUAAAGCUCUUUUCAACUUGACGAAUGGGUUAUUAGAUAACCAGAGACGGUAAAGAUGGAAUAAGCCACGGCUAACUACGUGCCAGCAGCCUCGGUAAUACGUAGGUGGCAAGCGUUGUCCGGAAUUAUUGGGCGUAAAGGGAGCGCAGGCGGUUUGGUAAGUCUUACUUAAAAGUGCAGCAGUAAAAGUUGUGAUGGGUAAGAAACUAUUGAACUUGAGAGCAGGAGAGGCAAGCGGAAUUCCCAGUGUAGCGGUGAAAUGCGUAGAUAUUGGGAGGAACACCAGUGGCGAAGGCGGCUUGCUGGACUGCAUCUGACGCUGAGGCUCGAAAGCUAGGGUAGCGAACG
Molecule: ribosomal RNA, 415 nt
Filed under: uncultured bacterium
Lineage: Bacteria
Description: bacterial SSU rRNA
Rfam family: Bacterial small subunit ribosomal RNA
Source: RNAcentral